AUUUAUAUAAUAUAAUUUAGUAUAUUUAACUUCCAAUUAAAUAGUUUAAUUAAUUUUAAUUUAAAUA
This 67-nucleotide transfer RNA is filed under the name Protapanteles sp. 2 SNS-2016. RNAcentral's name for it is "tRNA-Gly". Lineage: Eukaryota; Metazoa; Arthropoda; Insecta; Hymenoptera; Braconidae. The record is from RNAcentral.